AGGCCCUUAGCUCAGUAGUAAAGCAUCUGCCUUGCAAGCAGAUGGUCCCAGGUUCAAUCCCAGCCAGGACUUG
Podarcis lilfordi (Lilford's wall lizard) is the source of this 73-nucleotide non-coding RNA. The record is from the annotation of a GenBank genome assembly. NCBI's taxonomy places the organism in Eukaryota, Metazoa, Chordata, Lepidosauria, Squamata, Lacertidae.